Molecule: long non-coding RNA, 5518 nt
Filed under: Sus scrofa (pig)
Lineage: Eukaryota; Metazoa; Chordata; Mammalia; Artiodactyla; Suidae
Description: lncRNA (ENSSSCG00000062002.1)
Source: RNAcentral
UUUUUCUUUCUUUUUCUCCCCAUUUCUGGAACUGUAAUCUUUCUACAGGUUUAAAUGUUAUAAAUGAGUUUACAGAUAUUGUCAAAGGGGGAAAAAAAAAACUAAACUAAAAACAAAAAGCAAAUCACCAUCAUCUCCUGUCUUUUAAAUGGACCCCUGGCAUUGAAGAUUACUGUGUCUCAGGUAGAGGUGGAGUGAAUGGAUAUCAUUAGCAAUUUAUCUUUGUGGACUGAAUUUAGAAUGUGAUUAAGAAUCAGGAUGUGUCUAUCUUCUCCCCAUCAUCUAAGGCUGUGUGUUGCCUUUAGCAAUGGACAUGACAUUAAUCUAUUACUGAUUUGCGACUGUUUAGACUUGAAUCUAACUCAUUUCUUUUGUUCAUUUCCACCCCAUGAAAAGAAAACCACUAAGUGAGCUUCAUUUUAAAAGUUUAGUGAUUGCCUAGAUGACGUACAAUGUAGUACUUUUCUGUUUCCUUUGAUGAUGUGUCCUUUGUAUAAGGAUUUUCUCUGAAUUCUUUUCUACCCUUGUUGCCCCCCCAUAGAUACACAACUCGCGUCAGGUUAGUUUAUAGGAAGGGGGGAAAAUGUUAUUUCAAGACACUAUGGGUUUGCGAAUGAUGGUUGGUUUUAGUUUCUGGGAUUUUUCCUGCAAAUGAGUGAUUAUAUAAAAUUGGUAUAAAGGGCAAUCACCUCCCAGUGUCAAAGUAUCUGCGAAAAUAAAUUCUCGGGGAGAAACUUCCUCGGUGAUCACAAACUCAAAGGGAAUUGAGUGGGCACAAGGGAUUUGUAACUCAGGCAAAGGAAAAAGCCAAUUAAUUACUUCUGGAAUCUUUAUUAAUCACAAUAUCCUCCAGAUGGAGAAUCUCUUACGAAAAAAAAAAAGGGGAUUGGUUCAAAUGUCUCUGGUUGCAGGUACCAGAAAACCUAACUCAAAAUACUAAACCUUAAACAAUAAGAAGAUAACAAUAUUUCAGAUAAUUGGGAGGCUUUGAGUAAGGAAGCUGAAGGUGAAAUAGAAUCAGCAUGUUCUAAGGAUCAGAAAGAACUCAGGUUCUUUUCAUCCCGUCAUCUUUGCCUUGAACUCCUGCUAGUUGCCAGGACUAUAUAUGAAUCACCACUGCAAAGCAGUUCUUAUAGAACAAAUUGAGGGCAGAAAGGAUUCAGGUAGGCCUGACUCCAGCGCUUUCUAGCUAUCUCAGCAUUAAGUGGGUUCCUUCAUCACAUGUGGCAUCAGUUUUUAUCAUCUGCAUAAGGGUGAUGCCUUCACUCAGGGGUUGUUAAAAUCAUUAGAAUGAAUGGGUGUACAAUGUCUGAAUUAUAACAGAUAUUCACAUAAUAGUAGAUGUUAUUAUUUUUGUUAUUUGUUCAAGAAACAAGUUUUGAUUAGAGAAAAUGGAUGGUCAGCUAAUUUGAUCUCAUUGGACAACAUGUUAACAAUUCAUCUCUCAGAGUGGGUCACUUUUGUAGAUGGUUAACCUUAUCCAUAUUUGUGUUCUUAUUUUUUUUUUUUUUCUGUCUGUUUUAGUUAGACCCUCUAACAGCCAGAAUUCCAUCAGGAAAGCAAAGCCUCUGUAAAAGACCGGGAAGGGAGGCAUCAGAGAAUCAGAGAAAUGCUCAUUAACCAUUCUCUGUGAAGGAACCAUUCCCUGUGAACAACCACUCAACCGCUGGUUGUUCACAGGGAAAUCCAAGAUGCCAAGCACAUCUGGCCAACGAUGUGAGACCAGCGCUAAGGGAAGGAUGAGGUCAACAGAAACUGCAGCCUCUGGGGAAGUACUUCCUGUUAAGUAACUACGACCUUUGUGGUUGAGGAUAAGCUGGUUCUGGGUUCCUGCAAGGCACCCCUGUGUUUGCCCAUCAUCAGGUCUGAGAGAAAUGGCUUUUGCUUUACUUCCACCUUCAAAAUCUCACACCAGCUCCCCCUUUACAAUACAGAGAAGGGGAUUCUGGUAGAAACUGACAACAAUUAACGAGAUCCAACUGCAGUGGCCAAAGUGGGACAGACGUUUCGCCUCUUUUCACAUGUUUUACUCAUUUACGCCUUUUGCUUUUCCCUCUGCACAGGUGAAAAAAAUACUGUCUAGAUCAGAGCUGAAGGAGUCUACUUUUUGAGACUAUAACUUGCCUUUAAAAAGAUAAUUUAAAUAUAAACUAUUUUAAAAUAUAAUUAGAUUAUCUUUAUACUACCCUGACAUUUUAGCAGCUGAGUACCACUGAUGGGACUGGGAGAACCCAAUACUAUGCAUCAAGACAUGUGGGCCCUUUUCCAAUUUGUUCCAUCUACUUGCCAGGUAAACAGAUGAAUCUUGGUUUUCUCCACAUCCAUAGUCGAUGACCCUUUCAGGUGAAGGGAUAAUAUAUAAAAAAUUAUCAUUUUUCUACAUCGAGAUAAGAAUAUUCUCUACAACCAAUGAUUGAGACAUUUUAGAACCACUAAAACCUAAUAUGGGUCUAGGGUUUAUUAGAUAAAUUUAUUUUUCAAAUGAAGUAUUCCAAAAUUGUAUUUAUGCCUUUGGGGGUUAAUAAAAAAAUAGUACAUGAAAAUACGCAAAAUUCUGAAAGUAUCUCCCUCCAUUUGGGGAUUUAAAAAGUACAGAAAAUAUGCUAAAUUUUAAAAAUGUAUCUGUAGUGUAAAUAUGAAUAUGAAUAUGAAGCUUUCCUGUUUAAGGUAUACAGCUGUCCACAGGAGACCCGACUAGAGGUUUGCAUUGUUCCUUCUACCUACAGGAGAAAUUGGAAAUGCUUUUCCUGUUGGGGAGCCUGCGUUUCUCUGACAAAUCCCUGCUCUACUGCCAAAUGCCACACAUAGGUGCCGUCUCCACAGGCUUUCUGUGGCUCAUUUCUAUCCACAACUUUGGGUACUGAAUAUAAUCUGACCAACUCUGCUUUCUUCUUCCUAUCAGGAACACAAGGAGAAAUUACUUUCUGAUUCUUUAUGUGCCCAGAUCAAGAAGGGUCAGUUUUUCAGCAUAUCCUGAGCAGUAAAAUGGAGUGCUACAGAUGUAUUCAGACAUAAUAGGGAAAGGGAUCUGGGAUUUGGAAACACACACAACUUCUGUUUCAGGUCAUUUAGAAAGAUCUUUGGAUUAUAAGAGCUGAUGGUGGACAGAUGUGUCCCUGCAGUUCUGAGCUUUUAAAAGAGCCUUGGAACAUCUGAUCAGAGUUGGGGAAAUCUACAUCUAUCACUAUACAAAUGAAUUUGAGGGAGAAUGCUUUUGUCUUUUUUUUUCUCAUGAGCAAGAGACUGUUUGAAUGGGAAAACACUUGUUAAGUGCUUUGGAAUAAAGAUGCUGCACCCGACACACACACUUCAUUAGGCCUCAUAAUGUAAUAUUCUAAUACAAUAUAAUGUAAUACUGCAACUUAUUUUCAAAUAAUAUAACUCCGCAAUUGCCCACUCAGGACUGCACGAGCUUAACUAAGACACUGAAUGAUGCUUUCUCCCUGGUGCCUUUUUGGGGGCAUUUAUAUAGGUUCAACCGAAAGCUUUUUAAAAAAAAAAAAAAAUUCUUUUUUUGGGAGUUCCCGUCGUGGCUCAGUGGUUAACGAAUCUGAUUAGGAACCAUGAGGUUGCGGGUUCUAUCCCUGGCCUUGCUCAGUGGUUAAGGAUCCGGCGUUGCUGUGAGCUGUGGUGUAGGUUGCAGACAUGGCUCAGAUCCCUCAUUGCUGUGACUCUGGUGUAGGCCGGCGGCUACAGCUCCAAUUAGACCCCUAGCCUGGGAACCUCCCAUAUGCCGCAGAAGCGGCCCUAGAAAUGGCAAAAAGACAAAAAAAAAUUUUUUUUUUGGCUUGGUUUCCUCUCCAUAGUUAUUCAAAUAAAAAGACAGAAAAGACUUCUAUACACUUGUCCUUUACUCAAGUCCAGGAAGGAAUAUUGGGAGAUAUCACACACAAAAAAUUAUUUUAGCACUGGACUUAUAAAACUUCAAUCACAGAGAACCUGGAUCAAAAGCAUCAGGUUCUCAUCCCAAAUUUGCCACUUUUUUAGCCACAUAAACCUGGAUUGUACCUUUCAGCUUUAGUUCUCUAAUUGUCAUAUCUCCUCUUCUAUCUACUUAGCAAACCUCUCAUGUGAAUAUCUCAUAAGAUGAAAAUAUGACAGUGCUGUCAAAGCUGAGAAUAGCUAUCCAAAUACAAGAUACUAUACAUUACUAUUUUUAUUGGCUGUCUUUUACUGAGCAGUUAAGGGAACCAGAAAUGUUCCAAGAGAUUAAGAUCUCAACUUUGCAUCUCAAUGAAAAAACAGCACUUCUAGGACUGCAAGGCCCUCUUUCUAACAUCUCUCCUGGGGGGAAAAUGCCUUCUGCUUAAUCAUCAACAUCACCACCUCCUCCACUGAGAGCGAUAUCUGAUGAUGAAUUACUCUAGAAGUGAUCUAACCUUACUCCUUGCUAGGCGGGUGAAACCUAAGCUGGUCAUAGCAUUUGUCUCCAGAUGCAACCAAAACAAAAAUCAAGGUCCAUAGAAAAAUUAACUUUGCCAACAUAUAUUUGGAUUCCUUACAGUUACUCUUUCCUUAUGCAAAGUUGCUCAUCAUGUUUUAUAAUCCUCAUCUUUCUCAUACAUUCUCUUUCCUUCCAUAGAGUAAUGAAUAGCUAUCAUUCCCUCACCUGUACAUUCAUUUCACAAAUGUCUGGGAACAAUUCUGCAGUAAGGACUAAGUUCGGUCUUAGUACACAUGAUAAACACGAUCUCUGUCCCCCCCAAAUGUUAUAGUCUAGAGUCAGGUAGAGGCAAGUUUAGGUGUAUUAUAGGAUACAGGCAGAAGUACCCCAGCAUCUGUGCAUACUUGAACCCAGGAAAGAGAAUAUUUGAGAAAAAGUAAUACCCUACAACUGAUCUCUGUUCACCCUACUGCUAGCCUAAGAGCAUCUAAUGCAGUUUUAGGGGAUUGGCUUAGGCUUCUAAAUUGAGCCCUGAAAGGAAGAGUAGAAUUUGGUGACUCUUUCCCAAUUUCCCUUAUAUUAUUAUAUCAGUGAUCUCAUCUUCUCUUUUUCACUACAUCUACCUCUUUACUUGGCCACAAACAACUGGCAUCUAGGCCACCACUGUAACUGCAACUUUAAGAGACACUUUUCCAGUAUCUGCUAGAUGCAAGCCUGAAUUGAAACGGUUUGGUUGCAUCCUGAUUAUUAGAGGAAAAGAAUGAUAAUGUUGAUGAUAGGACUGCCUAAUAAAGUUCUCCAGUAAAUGAUUAUAAUAUCACUUUGUUGCUUCUUCCUAUUCUCAAAAAAACAUUUCUGAAUAACCCUUCUUAGAAGCAUCCAAGUAUAUUCCACUGUUCCCUACUACUGACUUUCAACACAUUCUUUGGAAUGUUCCAAAAGUGUUAGUUUGAACUCUAUCUAGAAUGUUUUAACUAUCUUAAGACGUAAUAAACAAGAUGCACAUUUUUGGGGAGUUAUUGUCGUGGCUCAGCAGAAAUGAAUUUGAUUAGUAUCCAUAAGGACAUAGGUUCAAUCCCUGGCCUUGCUCAGUGGGUUAAGGAUCCUGUGUUGCCGUGAGCUGUGGUGGAGGUU